GACGAACGCUGGCGGCGUGCCUAAUACAUGCAAGUCGAACGAAGCUGUUUUAACUGGUGCUUGCACCGACUUAAACAACUGAGUGGCGAACGGGUGAGUAACACGUGGGUAACCUGCCCCAAAGCGGGGGAUAACAUUUGGAAACAGAUGCUAAUACCGCAUAACCACAGAAACCACAUGGUUUCUGUGUCAAAGAUGGUUUCGGCUAUCACUUUGGGAUGGACCCGCGGCGUAUUAGCUAGUUGGUAAGGUAAUGGCUUACCAAGGCAAUGAUACGUAGCCGAACUGUGAGGUUGAGCGGCCACAUUGGGACUGAGACACGGACCAAACUCCUACGGGAGGCAGCAGUAGGGAAUCUUCCACAAUGGACGAAAGUCUGAUGGAGCAACGCCGAGUGAGUGAAGAAGGUUUUCGGAUCGUAAAACUCUGUUGUCAGAGAAGAACGUGUGCGAGAGUAACUGUUCGUGCAGUGACGGUAUCUGGCCAGAAAGCCACGGCUAACUACGUGCCAGCAGCCGCCGUAA
RNAcentral lists this ribosomal RNA (524 nucleotides) under uncultured bacterium. RNAcentral's name for it is "partial 16S ribosomal RNA". It matches the Rfam family "Bacterial small subunit ribosomal RNA", at positions 28 to 523 of the family's 1533-position model. The record is from RNAcentral.